This 394-nucleotide long non-coding RNA is filed under the name Erythranthe guttata (spotted monkey flower). RNAcentral's name for it is "long non-coding RNA (EGUT_LNC001654)". Lineage: Eukaryota; Viridiplantae; Streptophyta; Magnoliopsida; Lamiales; Phrymaceae. The record is from RNAcentral.
UAUAUAUAUAUAUAUAUAUAUAUAUAUAUAUAUAUAUAUAUAUACUUAUAUCAAAAGGUUGGCUCAAAAGCAAAUUGGAGGAGCUAAUUAAUAUGGCUGUCACCUGAGCUACUGUAUUUUUUUUUUGAGAGAGAGAAGAAAGAGAGAGAGAAAAGAGAGAGAGAGAGAGAUUCUCUCUCUUUAAGCUUUGUUGGCUGUAAUCAAAUCAAAUCCUUAAAAAAAUAUUAAUCUUGGGAUUUUCAAGUUGUUUUAAAAUAAAAAGAAAAGAAAAUUAUCACCUCAUUAUGGAAUCUGCAAACAGCCAUCAUCACCAUCACCAUCAUAAUCAGCUCCAAGAUCAACUUGUUGGCUCUUCUUCUUCUUCUUCUUCUCCUUCCUCUUCUUCUUGCUUNNN